Molecule: long non-coding RNA, 2329 nt
Filed under: Mus musculus (house mouse)
Lineage: Eukaryota; Metazoa; Chordata; Mammalia; Rodentia; Muridae
Description: long non-coding RNA chr8:65994402-65996731
Source: RNAcentral
GGACUUUUGGUAUAGCAUUGGAAAUGUAAAUGAGCUAAAUACCUAAUAAAAAAUGGAAAAAAAGAAUAAAGCUGUUAUGAACAUAGUUGAGGAAUUGUCUUUGUGGAAUGGUGGAACACCUUUUGAAUAUGUUCCCAGGAGUGAUAUAGCUGGGUCUUGAGGUAGAACUGUUUCUAGUUUUCUGAGAAACUGCCAAAUUGAUUUCCAAAGUGGUUGUUUGCACUUCCACCAACAAUGAGGAAGUGUUCCAUUUGCUCCACAUCCUCUGUUCAUGGCUUUUUAAUGUAGUUUAUGGAGACCAAAAUUGGGUCCAUAUGUUUGCAGAACAAAUACUUUACUGUUAAAGCUAUAAAACUAUGUGGCAUGCUUAGGGCAUCAGGAUAACAUCAGCACAAUCUCAACUUAGUAUAGAUCAUGAUUUCGAUAACAUUCAUGAGUCCCAAGAGUAGCUCUGGGGUGUCUAAAUGUGCUCUUCAUUAUUUGAGAAGUCAUGGAUGCAGUGAUUGUUACAUGGUAACUUCAAGAAGAUUGAAAUCAAAAUGGAAGUACUGCCCAAGGAGUGGUUUACAGUAAAGGAUUCUUAGAGAAUAGUAGCAAAUGAUGAGAUGCAAAAGUAGAUCCUUAUUAGACCUGUUUUGCAUGCUUAUAAAAUUGUUGUUUUCUCCAUAUAUAAAGUAUAAAGCAGCAUUUUGGUAUUGUCUUAGCACAAAGUUGACAAACUGGGCUUUGAUUGGUAAUGAUACCACUUCUUAACUCCUUAAAGUCACUUAUGCUUGAGGCAUACUAUAAAUCUUCCAAAUAUCAACAUCUAGAAGAUGGAGCCCAUUUAACAACCUCUCCUUAUAAGAAAACUUAAUGUAAUAUAGAAUAUAUACACAGUUGCUGAUAUUCAUUCUUUAUUAAAUGAAUGGUGAUAAAACUUAUUUUGAAAACUGUUUAAAAAAAACACCAACUACCUGUGCUGUUAUCCCUGAAAUUAAACAGCAGACCUUCUCAGCUCUUGUUAAUUAUAAGAAGAAUCAUAUAUAAACCCAUAAUUCAAAGAAGACUUUGCUAAGUGUCACAUAAUCAUUCAUAAUAACAUGACAUGUAGAUAUUAGGCAAAAUGGAUAAGAGCAAAUGUGACUACUGUGGCAAAAGCCAACAAAUAAUAACUUAGGAGAAGUAGGAUAUUGUCUUGUAUUAGCCCUUUGUAUAAGUCUUCUGUUUAUUGACCCAGGAUAACAAAAUGUCCAGUGGCUUAUAAUGACAAUUUAUAAAUGGCUCUCAAAUUUAUUAGUUUGGUUGACUCAGUUCAGUUGAACAGUUAAUAUAUUGUGUCUUAAGCAUAUUUCAGUCUGGUUGUAGCUAAAGUUGGAAUUCUAUCAACGUUUGACCAGGCUGGAUUUCCAAGUGCUUCCUGGUUCACACACCUUCAGCUGUUUCUCUAAAUGUGCAAAAUCUCAUCCCUAGAACCUCUUUGUAUAAUUUAGACACCUUUGUGUAGUAGUAUCAAGUACCGUUAGCUCUUUGUAGCAAGUACUUGGCUUCUAAGAGAAAGGAAAUAGACUCUCAACAGUCUUCUGAAGUUGGCCCUGCUUCAACACUACAUAACUCUUCUAGUCAGUAAAAUUACAAGUUCAAUCUUGGCUCAAGGUGGGAGUGUCUGUAAGAAGGAAUAUCGGGAAAUAUGAUUUGCAUUGAGACUAUCUUUUGAUACUAGCAGCUACAAAUCUCUGGAAGUCUCUGUAGAAUGUUAGGUUUGGCUAACUGAUCUCUAAAGCAUUCUGUAAUAUGGCUUUUUCUUUCAAUGAUCCAGUAAAGAUCCUUCUAUAAUUUGUAAAUUACCACAACCAAUAAAAUAUAUUUUAACUAAACAACAUUGCUUUUUCUUUUCCUAUAGCAGCAUGCUUUUAUUUAGUCACAAGUUUGGGCUAUUGAAGAAGACAAAUUGUAGAAAUUUUUCUUUCAAGUUUUAAAGCUACCAGUAUCUCUCAGAAACAGAAGUGAUGUCACUUACAUUGAUGAACUACUUUGCUGUCAUUUCCUCUGCACAAUCGAUAUACACAAUGCCCUCAACCAAAGCACAGCCUCAGAAUGCUGGGCCAUAACCUUUGAUAGGGUUAUAAAAUCAGUAAUGACUUAUAGCUUCAUUUAAGUGGAAUUUGGUGAGGGUGAGAUUUUAUAUCUCAAUUAGAUCCUUAUUCCCUAAAAGCACAAUGGUUUCAUUCUAACCCAGGACUGUGAAGUGCAAGGUUCUGUGGAGAUACACAGUGCCUUCUGGAAAAAUCAUUUGAAUGGAAGUAAAUGCAGAUAUUUCUUUUUCUUUCUUCUUCUUCUUUCUUUUUAC